Molecule: ribosomal RNA, 68 nt
Filed under: Liquorilactobacillus nagelii
Lineage: Bacteria; Bacillati; Bacillota; Bacilli; Lactobacillales; Lactobacillaceae
Also listed under: 1 other name
Description: partial 16S ribosomal RNA
Rfam family: Bacterial small subunit ribosomal RNA
Source: RNAcentral
UAAAAUGAGAGUUUGAUCCUGGCUCAGGACGAACGCUGGCGGCGUGCCUAAUACAUGCAAGUCGAACG